AAUCUGUCCUGUUGUUGUUGUCUUCACUGUAUUCUUGCUGCCUAUCACUGCGUAGAGGAUCGGGGAAUCUGAUUGGUGGUCUCAAGUCUCUGUGGGGUGGUGCAUCUCUGGGCCAGCCUCGAGGCGGAGAUCUAUUAUAGCCACCGUUUGUAAUCCUUCGAGGAGGAGAACGAUCCAACGGAGCAGCACGCUGAUGUGGCGGAAAUGUGGGGCCGAGGUAUCCCCUCCCGGAUGAAGAGGCGUAACGGGGCCUGUUGCAGUUGUUGCAGUGGUCCCGCCUUGCGAAAUUCAAAUUUUUACACCUGAGAGAUUGCACAAACUAUAUAUCACAUAUAAACAAACACAUGGGAGUUGACGACAUAUAUCAUAUAAAUUGUGAAUCUAAAAGCACAUUUUCCAUAGGCAUAUAAUAUACACGUGACAGAGAAAAAAACUAUGCUGACUGAAUGAUGGCGAAGCAGAUUAUAGGAAUGUAGAACUUCAAACAUUAAGCAACAGAAAGCAAAAGUUUUUAUUUGACAAAAUUUCUUUGGACUGCCAUAAUGCAAUUUUAUUCAUCACGAAUUCAUCUUCCACAAUCCAUUGGACUACUAAAACGAUCAUUCAAGAGAUUAGACGUUAUUGGGCCCUUUGGCCCAAAUGGAAAUUCAAAUUCUCCUCUCGUAACUCAAAUUUUGCUGCCAAAAUUUGGCUAAGUGGGCAUUUUCUGUUAGUAGAGUUGGGUUCACCCCCACCCACCCACCCCCCAAAUGAUCUUCAUAUUUCAUGUUUUUGUGAUGGGGGUUCCCCUAUUUUAGAUUUUUUUGCAACAGUCACUAAGGUAUUUGAUUUUACAGAUCCAAAAAAAAAAGAAAAAAAAACCCAUAAGUUUUAGUAUCUAAACAAUGUUUCCAGUUUGAAGCAUAAUAUGAAAUAAACUAAUACAUAGGAGCAAGUCUUAAGCAAUGUUAAAGGAUAACAGAUACUCACGAGGGGUCUGAGCAUAUCCAAUCUCCUUCUCUUGGCUGCACAUUAGGAUUAUUUCGAGGCAAGCCCUCGUCUCUGAAUGAAACAGGCCCACGUGAAGAGUGAUGAUGACCUCUAUCAGAGAACUUGCCACGACCAAAAGGGGGUGAGUGAUCACGAAAUCUACCAGGUUCUCUCCCACUGCCAAAUCCACGACUCCUUGAUGAUGUACCAAUAGAGGGUUCAAAACCAGGACUAAAUCGAUGACGAUUUGCAUCCCUACGUCGCAAAGGGGAAACCGAACCUGCGCGCAUUCUAUAUCCUGAAAAGAACCAGUGAAGCCCAAUACAGUAAACACCCAAUCACAAGUAGAGGUCACCAAGAACAGUGUCCAACAGAAGCCAAUUUAUGCAACCCGAGAAAUGCCAAGUACAAAUUUAAAUUACGACAAUAAACAGUAACCCUUGUUGAAGCAUCUCUUCAUCAAGAACGAACAUAGUCUACUGUACUUACCCACACCUAAUGUCAGAAUUCAAGAUCUUUGGGUACAACAAACCACUUACUAGAUUUGGUUAGCAGCCAUCACACGUUAAAAAUUGUUUUUCCCUACAUAUCUUGCAUAAUAUAAACUGACUAAUCAUUAACGAAAAUUGGCGGGCAACCCAGUUCUCGGAAAAUGCGCUUAGUAUUUUGGAUGCAAAAUUUGUUCAUUGUUCCAACUGCUCGUAGAAGUCUCCGAGUUCAAAGGUGCUUGUCCAAAUGACAUGACUGAUGAUAUCAAAGUUCCUGUGGCACCACACUGAUGUUUGACCAUGUGGUCCUUCGAGAAGAAAAAAAACAAAUAUCCCACAAGCAGUUAGUUUAUAAAUGUUCAUAAGAGUCCAUGCAAUACCACCCAUUUACUAUUACACAGCAGCAAACCAGGCCACCACGCAUCCGUUCCUCACCAGCAGUGAACUUGUUGUAACAUGAUUUACAAAAUCCCAAGUUCAACGAUAUGACAUGAUAUAAAAGUUCAAGUUUUAGUCUGCUCCCGUGACCUUUUCUGAUACCAGAACCCCCAAUCAACUCCCAAAUAACAAAGAACUAUUUAGUGGUUUUAACUCCAAACUCAUCAGAUGUUAACCAGCUUUUCUGGUGCACUUGCAUUCCUCACCCUUAUGGCUGAGCAUAUAUUUCUCACCAGUGAACCCAACAACCCUCAGGUGUGAUGUUAAUUUAACCCAGAUCCCUACCACCACUCUUCACAUCUCCUUGGGCACUGCUUUCAUGAACAAGUCACCACAGUACAGAUAUUGUAAACGGGUUAAAGUGAUCAUGCUCAUCAGUCUACUGUGGCAUGACCCAUCACAUUCAGCAGAACCAUCAGAACUUCACAAACACGUAUCCCAUGGCUAGAAAACGAAAUGAGUCAUUACUUCAAUAAUCUUCUAUCCAUCGAAGUUGUUUUCCACAUAAAACAAUCUUAAUUCUUAAAAACCAAAACCCGUUCCCAACGUGCCUUCCUCAAAACCCAAAUUCUUGCACCAAGCAAUAUUCAUAGCUGUAGAAAACAACAGCAAAAUUCAUUCACCAUUCGACAGUCCAUAAGCGUCAUUGCUUGACAUACAACACAAGGUAAUUGCGGAAAGGGUGGAUAAUAAUAAUAAAGAAAAAAUCUAAGAUCCAGCUCAUGGACACGGCCUAAGAUAACUAAGGUAUGUAAAGAAUAAGGUCAUGAAAUCAAGAGUGAACCUAUACUGCAAAAAGAACAGGGUAAACUGAUUGCAAAUAUGAGUCACGGGUUCUUUGGGACAAAACUUCCUCUCUACCUAUUUAAGAAUUAAAGAAAGAAACAUCUCUUUCCCUGCAAUGGUGCAGAGAUUUUCAAGCAUUCCCCAUUUCCAAGCCAUGGUAACAUAUAAUAUUUUGUCAGGUAUCAUUUCUUAUUACUGGACACGAGCACAAACUGCAAUAUUUUGGGACGCAAAAAAAUGAAGGUUUAAAAUAAUAAACAUUCCAAGUAAUUUUGAAUUUUUCUGUCCAAAUAUUCAUCAAAUUUUCUUAUGCAAGGCCUCUGAACUAGCUGAGAAAUAUUACAAUAAAUCAGUACAACAAUAUAUACCCCACAGAAGAUUGUAGGUUGGCAAUGCUUUCUCCAAAGGGAGAAAAUUUUGUCCAAAAAGAGCUUUCAAAUCAAGCAGUUGUGAUUUGAAAUAUAGAAACUGACCACAAUAAUUAACAAUAGUGGUAGUCAAAGUUUGUUUUCAAUCUUAAAGAAGAAAAGGACUUGUAUGGACACCACAUGUGAGGUGAAACACCAUAUAAUCUGAUAGUGGUAAAGUUUGUAAGAACAAUUUCACAGCUACAAUUAAAUCCGGUUCCAAGCCAACAAAUUAUCAGUAUAAUAUUCACACAUACCAGUCAACAAUCAAUAUUCUCAGCCUAGUCUAGAUCCAAAUACACAUUAAGAUACUACGAAAACAUGGAAACUGAAUAAAAAAUUGUGAUUAUCUACAACAUCUAGACAUAUUUGACUUGCUUGUUUAGACAAAGUUCUAAAAUACAAUAUAAGAUCAUAAAAGUAGUCUAGCUAGCAUAAGCAGGUAACGGACUUACCAACUCUAGUUAUACUCAAAAAAACCACAAUACCAAUGAUCAUUUCAUUGCACCACGAGUUCAUAGGAGUAUAUGUAAUUGAAACUUUAAUUUUAAUGUUGAAUUGUUAAAAUGAAAUGUUCGACAAUCUUAUGAUUCUACAAGCACUUCACUCAGUCACUGAAUCAUUAGAUCUAAGUCGAGCAAAAUCACAUUCUCUGCCAAGUUUCAUUCACUGUCGAUCAAACCAAAGUGUCGAAAUUCAAAAUAAAUUUUGACACCCGAAGCAAAUGCCACACUACUGCUCAUCUUAAGAGCUAUCUUGCCAUUCAGAAACUAGCAAUUUUUCUUGUAAAAUUCCAAACUAUACAAUCGUUGGUACUUGUGUAUCGGCACAUAAAUUACUAAGUGCAAUAACUAAUCAAACUCCAGAAUAACUAUCUAAACAACUGGACCAAAAAAAAAAGGUACAAUUGAAAGCUAGGUUUAGGAAUCCGAAAAUCAUCUAGCUAAAAAGGGGAAGCAUGAGUAAAACUGAAAUGAAAACAAAGUACCGUACCGUGGCUCUCGUAUCGAUCGGAGCGGGAGUAUGGAGGCGGAUCUCGGCGAACCUCGCCAGGUUCGUAAUCGCUGCCAGUACCGCCACCGCCACCGCCACCUCCGCCACCGCUGGUUUCGGCGGGACGUAUGACGAGGCUGCUCAACAAAGGCUGGUGCGGCGUCGUUUGAUUCUUCUCUCGCGAACUCAUUCCUCUCUCAGAGCACAUGAGCUGGAAUAUUCUCUGCCAACGAAACGACGAAUUGCUUCAAAUGAAGAACCCUAAAUAAUGGGACUACGAAUAACGGGAUUUUGGUGCAGAGCUGGUUGGAAGUUUAAUUACACUUAACUCCCGGAGAUUAGAUGUAAUUACAUCCAGAUCCCUAUUAUAUAAGCAAUUAUGAUUUCUGCAUCCGUGUAAUCAAGUUUGACUAUUUAGUAUUUACCACCUAAACUAAUUUACUUGACCCUUUUUUUUUUUUUCAUUUUUACCAUGAAAUAUUGAGUAAAUUAUAUUAUCAACAACCCCUAAUGUGAGGCUCUAAUCACAUAUUGACACCCCCUCAUAUUUAAAAUGUUACAAAAUUCUACCUCAAUGUGUUUUUUCCAAUUGAAUUUAAAAUUAUAUUAUCCUCCAUUGAGGUAUAAUCACUUAAUUAUAAACCCCUCAUAUUUUAAAAUAUUACACAAACUUUUCUCAUGAUAUUAAUUUUUCUAUAUAUUUUUCCAUUUUUUUAAUUCUCGUAUCGAAUUUUGUUAAGGUGUUAGCUAAUAUAAAACUUAAAGUAUAAGUUUGGGAUGAGAUUUUGAGAAUUUGAAAUAUUAUGGAUUGAAAAUUUGGGUUUUGGGUUUUUGGUCUGAAAUUCUAAAUCCCGGAUCAUGUUCCAAUUUCUUAUUUUGCGGUUAAUUACACGUUUCACAACAAUUAUCCCACUUCACCGUGUCUUUGUUCAUAUUCUUAAAAUAUAUAAUCGAAUACUAAUUAACUCGAUUCAAUUUCUUUUAUUCAUCAACACUUAUUAACGAAUUUCUUCGUACUGUAGCGACUUAAAUCAGAAACAUGAUGUAAUUUGCUACCAUGAAAGAAAAUUAGAUAAACAUUUUAUCUAAUAACAUUAGAAGGAGGAGACAAGGGUAAACAACAACACGUUUUGUUCGGCAGACAACCGCAGCUAAUUCGAUGCAAGAAAAAAUCACACAUUCUCUCACAAUCUUUAUCACUUAAGCAGAAUGUUAUUGGUAGAUCUGAAUGUUUUCUGCCAACAUUAGCAAAUUCAGCUGCAUUUUCUGCACAAGAAAAUAAAACAAAUAAAUAAUCAUCGUGAGAUCAAUCUUGAAAAGAAAAAAAAUAUCCUAAAGUACAGGAAUUGAGAUAUCGAAAUAGUUAUAUUUUUCGUCGUCUUGAAUAAAAUUCGAAUUUCUAUAGAAGAUGUGCACCAUUUACGCACACAGCCAAAACCAUGAUGAAUGCCACUACCAAUGAAGCUUGUCCCAUGAUCUGCAAUUGAUUUUUGAUUUGUUGUUUGAUUUUCUAUAGAAAAAAAAAAGUUAUAUAUAUGUGCAUAGUGCAUUAUUGAUUUCAUUUACAAGAUGGGAAGUUAAUUAAUUGAAAUAUUCUAGGAAAAUUGUGAAUAGUAAUUUGAAUUUAUAAUUGCAAAUCACAUUUUCAAAUGUUAUAUCAAGAAAAGAACAUUAAAUAUUAAUAACUAUUAUUCAUCAACAUACUAAAAUACACACAUUUAUAUGUGUAUGAUUGGGUAAAGAGUAUCUUAUUCCAUAUACACUCCAUUAAAUAUAAAAUCUAGUCGAUGUAUAUUAUCAUUUAUACAUUGUGUUAAUCAUGGCCAUCGAUGAAAUAACAUUAAAUUACGAAAUAAAAGUCUCAUAUUUGAGUAAUUGCAACUAACUCAUCAACUAUAAAUCUUCUCAUACGUCCAUUCUUAUCGUGUUAAUUUUAACAGAAUCUUCUAGUUUGUAUUCGUUUUAUGCAAAAAUGCAGUUUCGGAUGAACUACAAUUGAAUAUUUACAAGUCAAGAGACACAUCUCAUGAUCAUAUGUUAUUUCAAAAUGUGGAGCUGAAGAGGGUAAAAUGGAUACACACUGGAGAAUAUUCUACAUAAUCUAGAACAUUCCAUAAAAAUAUAUGCAAAUGUUAUAAAAAUUGAGGUCACAAAAAUAUUAAAAAAGAAAUAAAUUUACAAUUAAAAAAAAAAAAAAAAAAAGAGAUUGCGGGGGUAUUAUUGUAAAUUCGACCCGGAAGUUUUGUAUCUAUCCAUCUCAGUACGGAAACUACAUUCCGUUAUAUAAACUGAAACCGCCACUCUCUCUCUCUCUCUCUCCUCAAAAAAAGUGUGAAGAGGGGGGGAAAAAGGGGGGGAAACACCAUUUUCAAUUUUCUCUGCAGCAGAUACAGAAAUCAGAGUUCUUCAUCCGUCAAUUAAACACGCACGAACACACACACGCACAAACACACACAUUCUGUGUGAUUUUUGCAACUGGUAGUGAACAUGUCUUCGCCGCUAAAGCCACACGAGCGUAAGUUCCCGAUCAAAGACGAGAGGCGCGUGCGGAAAUUCUGCACAAUCAGUGAUAUGAGCGUUUAUCAAUCGGUCGUUAUCACUGAUGAAGAUUGUUUGCAAUCGGCCGAGGUAUUUUCAGUUUCAAUUCAGUUCAAUUUUCUCCGUUUCAAUUUGCUCCGACGGAAUAUAUAUAUUUGUUUACUGGAUUUUUUAUUUCGAUCGUUUUUAAUUAGGGCGUAAUUAAUUAUAUGGAAACUGCGCGAUUAUGCAUUUCCGAGUUGGUUAUGAUAUGAGAUGCGUGAUUUGAUGAAUAAAUGUUCCGUUUGUAGAUUCUGAUUUCUACUGGUCAAGUAAUAUCAUGGAAGACUAAAGGGGGGGAAGAGCUGCUUUUUGUCAGUGAAAAGGUAUUGUUCAAUUAAAUACAGUGUUAAUUGAUCACCUGAGAUUAAUCUGAAUUUUAUGUUGGUGCUUAUAAUGUAAUAUCAUUACUUCACUAUCAAUUGGUAUCUGGAUUUAAUACAGCAGUAAUCUUGUGAGGCCGUGAAAAAACGUAUAAUUGCGAGAUGUUCGUCUGAUGGUUUUGUUAUUUAUGAUCCACGUUUAAUUCCCGAAUUUAUGAUUGCCAUUACCAGAAUAAGCAGCAUCUGUAUAUAUUUUCCGAAUUUAUGAUUACCAUUCCUCUGUGUUUCUUUAGCAUCCUCGCAUGUAUGUUAAUUGAAGUGUUGUUGGAUUUUCUGUCGUUGUUGAAUCGAGUAUCUUAACUUGGAUAUUCGAUAAUUUACUUUCAAUCGAAUCAUCAAUGGUGUUGUAUUCUUUAGUAAUUUGAUCUUAACAAAAAUAUUUUUCAGAUUAAUUGGAAACACGAUCAACCAAUUCGCGGAGGCAUCCCAAUUUGCUUUCCGAAGGUAUACUGCUUACUCAUCCUUGCAAAUAUACUUUUCCUCUCAACUCCAUUCUAUUUCCCUUGCGUUUUAUUCGAUUUGAUUAUUUUCAAAGUAAAUUAAUUGAUGUUCUAAUUCAUAUCAGUUUUUGAACAAUGGAAAUAUCGAGAACCCAUUUAAGGCGGCUUGGCGUAUUGACACAUCCGUCCCUAAACACAACGACAAGGCAUCUCUUAAUUUGAUUCUGGAGCCAAGUCCCGCCGACUUGUUAAACUGGCCUCAUAAGUAGACGAUUGUUUUCUCCCUCUCUCUCUCUCUUUUUUUUUUUUUUUUCUCCUUUGCUGGUAGAGCAUUCUAAAUUGUAUUAAAUCGCAAUAUAUCUUUUGUUUUCUUCGCAGAUUUGAGUUCCGUAUGAGAUAUCAGGCGGCAGUUGUCGGAUAUCUGUUGAUGGCAGCUCGUAUAAGAAACACCGAUGAUAAGCCUUUUACAUUCCAAUUUUGCUAUCAAAACUACUUACCUGCCUCAGAUAUCAGGUAUUACUAAUGAGAUUGAUGCUGUUUAAUUUCCUUUAUUAUUGCAAUAGUUCUAAUUAAUCUGAACAUAUAUUAAUAUAUGUAUAUAUCUUCGCUUGUUCAGUAACAUUCGGAUUCAAGGAUUGGAUAAACUGGAUUAUCUGGACUAUCAGAAGAACGAGCGAUUUACUGAACAGGAUGCUUCAAUCUCCAUUGACUCUGAAGUGAGUAUAUACAUAUAUAGAUAGAUAGAUAGAUAGAUAGAUAGAUAGAUAGAUAGAUAGAUAAAUAAUAUAAAAAUGCUGAUUAUACCUGAAUUUAUUAUGUUUGCGUUAUCUUAAUUAAUCUUGCAUUUCGUGUAGGUGGACAAGGUGUAUAUCAACGCACGAGGUGGAAUGAAUAGGAUCGUUGCCAUAAAAACUACAGUAGGGCAAAAUUAUUCCGUUCGGGGAUGUGCUAGUCUUCCUGAUAUUGGUAAGGUUUAUAUAUACUUUAUAGUAUCGUAUUUUUCUAUGCAUGCAACGAGUUAGUUAUUUUAAUGAAAACGUGCGUAUGUAUUUAAUUUAAUUUUCAUUUUUUGAUAGUGAUGUGGAAUCCAUGGACUGAGAAGGCAAAGACAAUAAGUGAUUUGGGAGAUGGAGAGUAUAGGGAAAUGCUGUGUGUGGGGCCCGCUGCAGUUGUUGAUCCGGUGACGUUGAAUCCCGGCGAGGAGUGGACCGGGAGACAGAGUAUUUGCAUUGAUGAUUAGACCAACAGCAUGCUGAGUAUGAAUAUAUCAUCAGUUUCUCUAAAGUACUCUUUUCUGCCUUAGCCUAUACAUACAUACAUAUAUACAUGCAUUGAAUUUGAGGUCGUCGUGAUUUUCAAUUAGUUGAAUAAAUACCUAAACCAGCUUCCUAUUGAAAGACUUAUAAAAUUUUAAUGUUCCUUGUUACCGUAUAUAUUUGUCGAAUUUGUUAAAAAAAAAUAUCAAUAACCCUAACUUUUAUUAGUUUAAAACCUCAUAUAUUAUUUAGUAAUAACAUCUGAAAAAAAAAUUCAACUAGGAGGUCUUGGAUGACAACAGCAUGUUUUGUUAGGUUGACAACCACAGCUGAGCUUGUGUGAGAAGAAUUCACACAUUCUCUCGCAAUCUUUAUCGUUAGUGCAGUACGAUGGUAUUGGCUCGUUAUUUCUUCUACCUAUACUCACCGCACAUUCCCCUGCAUUUUCUGCACACCAAAAAUAAAAUUAAGAAAAAAAAAUACAGAGAUCUUCAACUUUUUUCUUUUCUCUUUAUAACACUAGUAUUUAAUUUUUUAGAACAACUAAGAAUAAAUAUAUAUAUAUAUAUAUAUAUAUAUAUAUAUAUAUAUAUAUAUAUAUAUAUAUAUAUAUAUAUAUAUAUUGAAAAAAGAAAUAAUAGAGAGAAUGUACCGUUCAUGCCCAAAACCAAAAUCAUGGCAAGUACCACUAAAAAUGAAACUUGUUUCAUGACUGACAAAUGAUUUUGAAUUUGCUCUUUGAAUUUCUUUGUCUCAUGUAUAUAUAUUUUUUUCUUUAUACUUAUAGAUGGAAAGUUACGUUAUUUUAUUGCAAUAAUAAUUUUUUUUGCCAAAACUAUUGUUGAACCAAUUUGGGAUUGUUGUAAAAUAAUGAAUUGUACAAUCACAAGUCAAGAUAGUCAAAAUCGACAUUUUAAGUAAAAUCUUAAGCUUGAAUUUGGAUUGUAAAUAUCGUAGGAUUUUUCAUAUCUUGUAAAAUUUAUUAUAGCAUGUCAAAAUUUUAGUCAAUACUGAACAGUGUAAUCGUAAGUCGAUUAAGACAAGUCAAACUCGAGAUUUUUAAGUAAAAUCGAAAUGGGAUGUAAAAUCGUAAUCUUAAAAUUGGAUGGCAAAUAUUGUAGUAUGUCCAUAUCUUGUAAAUUUAUAGCAUGCCCAAUGUUUUAUACGUCUCAAUACAUAUGCUGAAUUUUUACUGUUGAUCUACACGCCAAUGUGGGUGCGCGUUUGUGUAGUAAAAAUCUACCCGUUGUAUCAUAGUAUACAACUAUACAUAUAAAACAUUUCCUAAAAUAAAUAAAACAUGUACAUAAUAUCUUAACUUGGUGUAAUUAGUAACUAAAAAGUGAAAUAUUAAGGGGAAAAAAAUGUGCAAUAAAUAAUUUAAACCCGAAAUACAUCAUUUAGAUAACGGUAAUAAAGUUUCGAAGCGAGAGGCUAACCGAACAAUUCCAUUGGUUAGCAGCAUCAAAACAACACACAAAUACAUACAUAGAUACAUACACAAUUUUAAAGACAGUAACAAGAAGUAAGUCCAGCUUAAUUUAUAAUAGCUACUAAAAUUAAAUCAAAAAACCGAAAUUCGCUAAGCAACACAACCGCAGCAGACGACUCCCCUGCUAAAGAAACCAAAAAGGAAAAAAAAAACAAAAAAAACACCCGACAUAAAUCAGAUAAUCGAUUAUAGGAAAGAUCAAUUAUUUCUUAUACGAAAUCGAAUAUUUAUUCAUCAAGACUCACACAAUGGAGCAGCCACUACUUCUAUGUCGUUUCUUCUUCGCCAUUUCCUUUCUCCGAGGAGGUUGAAGAACAACCUUAAUUGCAGUAUCGAAAACAGCUUUCACAUUCUGGAUAACAAAAGUUCGAUAAUAUUAGAUUUCUUGACAAAAAAGAGGAUUUAAAUAUGAUCGUAUCGAACGGAAUUUGUACAAUGUGGGACCCACCUGCUGAGUCUUUGAGCUGCAUUCUAUGUAAGCUGCUGCACCAAUUUGUUUCCUCAACUCCUCCCCCUAUAAGUUUAGUGUCAAAUAAAUUGCUAAAAUGAAUCAAAUUUGAAUAUAUUUCGAAAAUAAAAAACAACGAGACACACUUGGGCAGUUGUGAUGAUAUUAGAUCCCAUAUGAUCAGCUAGGUAUCCUCUGUCUUCUCGAAGAUCUGUAACGGACAAAACAACAAAAUAUUAAAAAAAAUGUUUUUUCUUGAAUCAAAAUUUGAUUUAGAUUGCUUCAAGCAAAUACCUAAUUUAGUCCCGACGAGCACAAUUGGAACGUCGGGCGCAAACCGGCGAAGUUCCGGCAUCCACUGAAACAAUAAUCCAAUCAGAAUGCUGAUAAUUUUCUUAGGGCAACGUGAAUAAAAGUACACUAGAUGCAAAAGAUUGAAUUUUUUUUCACUUCAAAACAAAUGGUUUUGAUCAUCAUAAGAUUUUUUUUCAUUUAAUAAAAUUAAAAUAAAAAAUUAAAAAAGUUACCUUCUUGAGGACAUUUUCAUAGCUAGCUCUACUGAUUAAAGAGAAAGCCAAAACAAAUAUGUCUGCACCUCUGUAACUCAGUGGCCUCAACCUGCUGUAGUCUUCUUGACCUUUUUGAAAUAAGAGAUGCAAAUGAAAUUAGUAACUCAAUAAAUUAAAAUUAGUAGCAGUGUGUGUGUGUGUGUUUGUGUGAGAGAGAGAGAGAGGGAUAUUUAAGAAUAAAUAUGUAAUAUUCAUACCAGCAGUAUCCCACAGUCCUAAGUUGACAAUGUUGCCAUCUACAGACACAUUAGCACUGAAAUUGUCAAACACUGUGGGGAUGUAAUCCUGCACCCACAGAUGAAGCCCACAUCAUGAGAGAGAGAGAGAGAGAGAGAGCAAAAGAAAACCCUAAAUUUCAAGAAAAUCCAAUUCUUGAAAAUCCCACAAAAUUAGAAGCUUUAUUGCCAAAUUAAUAUGAUUUUAUUAGAAGAAGAAAAAAAAAAAGAUGCUAGUUUUAAUAUGAGAAGAAAAUGAGAAUAAAAAUUAGGUCAAAUAAAAGAGAGUAGGGGACUUACAGUAGGAAACUUGUUGCUGGUGUAGCAGAUGAGCAUGCAGGUUUUGCCAACAGCUCCAUCUCCAACUGUCACACAUUUGAUGAACUUUGAAGCACUCAUCUUUCCUUUUUUUCCUUUUUUGCCCCUUAAAUUUCCAAGGUAUUACUGUGAAAGCCCUUUUGCUGCAGCACUGUUGGCUGUUGCACUAAUAAAGCUAGGAAAAAGUAAUUGAAGAAAAAGGAGUCUUGAGAGCAAAAAAUGGCUGAAAUGAAGGAAGAAGAGAACAAGGAAGAAAAGGGGUUGGGAUAUUGAAAGAGAGGCCCCUAUUGCAAACUUAAUAUUUUUGCAGUUUCAAGAACGACAUUAAAAAACAAAGCUACAGACACAGACUGCGCAUGUGUCUCUGUGUGUGUGUCUUGUGUGUGAGAGAGAAUAGAGAGAGAGAGAGAGAGAGAGAGUCAAACAAAAGGGUCUUACUGUCACUUUUCAUCCCUCUCACCAAGUUUCAAAAUCCCAACGGAUUUGUUUUUUUUUUUAUUCUUUUUUUGAAAAUGAAGAAAGCUUUUAUUGUGUGAACCAGUUUCCAAACGGUCCCAAAGCCACAUUCAAAAUUUCAACCACUAUUCAAUUUGUUUUGGCAGGUAUUUAUUUACUCCUAUGUCUAAUUAAAGUCUUGUUUCUUUUCAGGUUUUCUGCAUACUUCCUGCAUUAAUUGGAGAUAUGUUAAUAUUAUUAUAUUAAGUAAUUCAUUAAUAGUAAUCCUGCAUACUAGCUGCAAUUAUACUCCUUUCUUUCAACCUACUCAUUUUCAAAAAAAUUAGAUAUGUUACUCAAUAUGUGGAAUCAAUGGCAUGUUCAUGUUUAUGCCCUAAAAAUACUAGAUAAGCUUCGUAAGUUAAAUAAUACAAGUAUACGGUUGCACGGGGAAUUGUCUUUGCGUUUAAGACUCGUCAAUUUCUAUGAAAUCAGAGUAUGUUCAGAAAAUAAAUCUGCAAAAUAAUCAACAAUCUAACAAAGCAACAACAGUUAUUGUGAUAUUCAGUGCAUUACAGAUUACAUCAGUAACGGCGGAGGAAAUACACCAAAACCCCUUUCCUCGUUUAUUUCUCGUAUUUCCGGUUUUAACAUCUACUAGAGAAAGACAGAAUAGCAUAAAAUGAUAAAACCAGACAUUCACCGGUGCAUUUAGAGAGCCUUGAGAAUAUCAUCAGCGCUGGACACAGUGAAUUCCCCACCGGAUUCAAUGUUGGCAGCUUUGACUUUGAGGUCUUCAACCAACAGAGCGAACCUUCUAGAACGAAGGCCAAGUCCCUUUUCGGUGAGGUCAAGUUCAAGCCCAAGUGCUUUAGUGUAAGUUGCAGAGCCAUCAGCCAAGAACUUCACAUGCUUAUUCUCAGGGUAAGUCUUUGCCCAUGCCUUCAUCACAAACGGGUCGUUUACUGCAUUGUAAGAACGAAAUACACAGUGAGUCAACUCUUACAAGAAUAUAAAAUCGUCCAUGUCCAGGCCCCUUAAUGCAAUCAGCAUAUUAAAAAGGGAUCGAAUUUGCUCCCCCCCCCCAGCCCCCCAAAGUUUCCUAAAGGGAAACUUCCUUAAACCAUUUUACGUUUUAGGAAGAUAAGAAAUUUUGCAACAAAACAAACCAAUAUUAGUUUCUUCUGAAACCUUUUCAUUUGAAAAAAAAAAUUGCCGUAAUAGAACAACUUAACUCCACUUUAAAAUUUGAUUAACAACUUGCACAUGUUAGUAUGGAGCCAGAUUCAGCCAUUCACUAUUUCAGGAUGUUUGCAAGAUGUGAAGAAACCUUCAACUUAAAGCAUGGCAUAUUUUUUGUAACCGUAGUUUAGCAUCUUUGUGAAAUAAAUCCAAAGUGCUCCAAGUAGAUUCCACUGGAAAAAGGAUAAACUAUAAUGAAAGUACAAAAUCUAUGGAAAUUACGUAUCAUAUCAAUUUAGUUCGUCGGUAAAGAAAACAGUCAACAUCAAACAUCAACAUAACGGGGAAAAAAGGACUUUGGCCAUCAACAUAACGGGGAAAAAAGGACUUUGGCAACAGCGAGGCGUUAGAUAUCUAAUUCUCGCAAUCAAAAAAAAUUAUAGUCUAUCAAAAUAAGUCAAAUGGGGCAUCGGUCAUCCUGAAAUGGUCAAGGGAAUGGAACAUUACAGAGUCAAUCUAGCCUAAUUAAUUAAUUCUAUACUGUCCUCAACCAGCCCAAUAACGCCGGAGAAAAGAUCAAUCGAAAUGUUGUUAACCUAAAACUGGUUAAUCUUAUAUCAAUUCAUAUGAUACUACACCACACAAGAACAACAAAUUCUUUCCUGAAUAACAUAUCAACAUAAAGCUGAUCUUGAACGGACAAAGCCCAUGCACAAUGCGAUUCUCGAAAACGCAACAUUUGCACACAAAUCAUGAUUACAUUGAUAUCCCAAAACUGAUUUCAAUUAUAUCAUCAAAUAACUAAUCGCUCAAAAUUAUGUCUACACCGAAAGUGGAUUGCGAGUUGCUGAAUGCGAGUUUAAUGAUGCAACAAAGCAAAAGCGCGGCUUCAAAGUUAUAAUACCAAACAGAGGAAUCACAUACGAAACACCCAAUUUCACAGUGCUUCCAAAAUCACAAUCUCUUAAAAAACACAACAAUACGACAUCAAACAAAGUGAAAUCGGCAAUAAGUUUCUCAAAUUUCAUAAUAUUGUCUACCAUUUCCAACACAAUAAGAAUAACAAUCAAUAAAGCAACACAAAACAGAAACAUACCACUGAUGCACAAGAUCUCAUCAACACCCUUCGAUUUCAGCUCAUCCGCCUUCUCAAUGAACCCAGGCACGUGCUUCAUGCUAUUACAAACAAAAAAAAAAUUAACAAAUUCAACAACUCCAAAAAUUCGUAAAAAUGAAAACAACAAAUUCGAACGUUCGUCGGUGACUGGAGGUAACAAAAUUACCUGCAGGUGGGGGUAAAUGCGCCGGGAACGGCGAAGAGGAUGACCUUCUUACCGGCGGCGAGCGAGUGAAGUGUGACGCUCUGGAGUUGAUCCUGUUCGUCGAAAUAAGCUAGGGUUCCUUCGGGAAUGACGUCACCAACUGCGAUCGGAGCCAUUGAUUCUUCCGUCUGUUUUGAAGUGGUUGAAAAAUGAUUACGGUUUAAGCGGUGCCACAGUUUUUGGCAGGGGUUUUAUUUGCACAGUGGACGUGAAGUUUCCCCACGAGCUGGAUUUAAGAAAAUUUUUGGCGUCCGGGUAGGGGUAUAAUUGAAAUUUCGGGUGAAGCGACUUUUUUUUAGUUUGCCCCUUAUAGGUUCUACAGUUUGUCACCUUUGCCACAUUAAACUACGAAGGUGUGCCCUUUGGUCCUCCAAUUAAUAAACACUACAAUUUUGGGUCAAAUUGGAUUUUUUAUACCAUUUUUUUUCUUAGAUUAAUUUAUAAUAAAACAAUUGAGAAUGAAAUUAAAGUCAAUGAAAUAAGUACACUGAAUUAUUUAAAGUUGAUGUAAAGUUAAAGGAGUAGAAUAACUUAAUGGACAUUUACUUUGAAAUUAAAGGAUUGUCUGGUUAAGUGAAAAUGCAGUAAAUCAUCAAUAAAUUAAUACUCGAUAAAUAAUAUUUCUUCUAGUCCCGAUACGAUAAAAACCUACUAAAUUAUUAGUUCGAUAAUUUAAUAUUUUGCUAGUUUCGAUUGUAUUAAUUUAUAGAGGUUUAACUGUAAUAAAAUAUUAAAAUUCAAUAAAUUGAAAAGAGAGAGUAGAUUAGAAAACAAAUGAAUUACUUUUAGAUGGGAUAUAAAAAUUUGUAUUUCAUGCUGGGUGGAAGUGAUACAAAUUUAAACUUAAGGGGGCAGUUUGAAAUUCAUCAAUUUUAAUAUGCAUUAUUGUAGGGCCUUGACUCGGCUCUAGCACUCCUACCCUACCAUAUAAAAGAAGCCGGCCAGCCGCCUAAAUCCUAUGAUCCGCUGACUCCGACCCGAAAAAUUCCAAUUUCGAAAUUUUGAUUUUGGUAUUUUUUUAACGGAAUUCGAAUUCAUUUUUCUUUUUCGAAAAAAUCGUAAUUUUCUAAAAGUGCUAAUUUUUAUUCGAUCCGUAGUCGAACUCGAAUAAUUUACAACUUACUUUAUGCAAUAUAAUUUUCAAAUGUGCAAGUCCGUUUUCACCUAUUCCUGCAUGAUAUAAAAAAAAAUUGUUGGUUUUUAUUACACCACAAAUAUGUAAGUUCAUUGUAAAUAAUGGCUGUAGAAAUUCGUUGCAAUCUAGAUAGCGCGGACAUUGAAACGACGAUACAGGAAAACGGGAAAACAGCAUAUCCGAAAAUUAGGGAUACAGAAACUUGAGGGAAAAGUAGAAAUAUUAGAAAUAUAAGGAUAUAUUUAUAAAUAUGCUAUCGAAAAGAGUAAGUACGAACCAUAUAUAUAUAUAUAUAUAUAUAUAUAAUCUUUUUCUUUAUAUUUCUAUACAAAUAUAUUCAAAAUUAAUAUUAUUAUCAAUUAUCAAUUUAUUGCUGAUCAAAAACUUAUGUAAUUAAUUAGAGAAGUAACAAAAAUAUCUAGAAAUUUGUUUCCAAACACGUUCUAACUUUUAAGAAGUUGCAAAAUGGCUUAUAACGUGUUCGAUAGGUGUCUUCGAGUAUCGGACACGAAACGUGUCCAAAACGUGGAAACGUUAAUAAAUAGAAGUUUUCGCACUACAUAGAUUACAAUGCAUCAAUCAUUUUUCUACAUAUAUACAUAUUUCUUGAAUAUCCUAUAUUAAUUAAUAUAUUUAUUCCAAGCCCCCAAAAAAUGUAAAACAUGAUCAAUUGCAGUCUCCUUCAGCUGAAACCCCAUGUCUGCAGUAAAAUCCAUGUAAGGUCACAUAAAUUCAUUUAAAUUUUUAAUCAAUUCUUUUAACUCUAUAAUAAUUAAAUACAAAAUAUAAAAAUACCUGAAUUCUACCGUCAGAAGUCCCGACAACUAAAAAAUCUUCGUUCGUAUCAAUAGCCAUGCAAAGAAUUCGACUCGUCGGGAUAAUUUGAAGCGUUUCGACUCUACUAAGCUUUUUCUUGCACCAAAUUUCGAUAACCCCACUUUUACACCCCAAGUAUAUUAAUUCCGAACUUACACUCAUAGUCCGUAUAUCCAAAGUCGAAGCCAACGACCCCACGAUACUAUAGUUUGAAGUACUCCAUAUCUAAUUAUAUAACACCACACCAUUUUAUUAAUUUUCGAGUAUUAAUAUCAAAUUUCCAAAAAAAAAAAAAAGAUUACCUUAACAUUUGAUCCAUCGAACGAAGGGCCGGCUCCGUAAAUUAAUCCGUCAUAAACUUGCAAUGCGUAAAUAGGAUAAACUUUCCCGAUUAAUUUCUUCGAGCCACUCUGUAUAUUCCCAAGUGUUCCUGUGGCCAAAUCUAUUUCCUGCAAAAAGCAAAGAAAUAUUAAUAAUACAUAUUUUUUUUUUCGUUUUUAAUCAUUACAAUAAUCUUAAUCAAAUCGAAGCCUAAUAAUUAAUAAACAUCGUUUUCAUUUACCUGAAUGCUAUUAUCGUUGCAUCCACAGUAGAGUUUUCCUUGUACGAGAGCCAAACAUUUGGCGUACUUGUGUUGAUUUAGUACUUUAGACGAUCCAUUCCACGAAUGCACCUGAAAUUAAUUACCUUAGUUAAUCAUCGUUGUACGUUUUUUUUUUCGAUUUUCAAGAAUUAAAAAAAAAAAAAAAAAAACCGGGGGGUGGGGUAGGGGUCUAAUUUCCUUGCCUUAACACCAGCUCCUUGAGGAAUAUAGCAUGCGAUGCUAUUAGCAACUACGAGGGUAUUUAUUUGAUCCUUCGUUUCCUGAACUUGUUCGCAGUAUAUUCCUUCCUCGGUUAUUGCCCAUACCUGUCAAAAUAAACAUACGAAGCUCGAAAAUCCAAAUAUAUAUAUAUAUAUAUAUAUAUAUAUAUAUAUAUAUAUAUAUAUAUAUACAAAUAUGUAUGUAUUGAUGUGUGUGUAUGUGUGUAUAUAUCAUAAUCGUACCCUCACAGUUUUAUCGAGUGAACCACUAUAGAGUUUCUCCGACGAAUGAACGACAGCCAAGCUCGUAACGUGUUUCGUGUGUUCGUGUAUUUCUUGGAUAAGAUUUAAUUCGGAGUUUUCGCUCUUCCAGACCUUUAUUGUUCCGUCCGAAUGGCCGGAGAAUAUUUUGCCUUUAAAGCAAGUAACCGUUAAAACUUCUCCAUUGCUACUACAAUCUUCCUGACUUAGUUCUUGAUGAUUCCAUAUAUCCUGCAAAAACACGACGAAUAUUAAUUAGCCAAAAAAUUGUACAUACAGUAGAACCUCGAUAAAUUAAUAAUCUCGAUUAACUAAUAGUUUCUUGCGGUCCCAACUCAGUGAAAACGUGGUAAAUUAUUAACUCGAUAAUUUGAUAAUUCACUAAAUUAAUAGAAUUUUUCUGAUCCUGACUGUAUUAACUUAUAGAGGUUUAACUGUAUAUUAUAUAUAUCUUGUCUUAAAAAAUAAAAAAAAUAAAAAAAAAAUCGAAGAAACUCACAGCACUAUUAUCAUGCUCCGCCGAAAAAACUUUCAGCAUCUCAAAUGCCAUCGUAGACGAUUUCUUAAGCUCCCUUAAUCCUUUCAUAAUAUCUUUCAUGUGACCUCCUAAAUCUUGAAAUCCUUCUGAAAAUUUUCGGUAUAUGAUCAAUUAUUCGCAUUUUAUAUUAAAAAGAUUCAUACAUAUAUAUAUAUAUAUAUAUAUAUAUAUAUAUAUAUAUAUAUAUAUAUAUAUAUAUAUAUAUAUAUAUAUAUAUAUAUAUAUAUAUAUAUAUAUAUAUAUAUAUAUAUAUAUAUACGAGUAAAACUGUUCAACGCCAGCAUGGCGAGGGCUCGAUUUUCGGUGUCUUUAUCGGAUUUAAAAAUCGAGAUGAAAUGCUUGAGCAAGCACACGCGUGCUGCUCCUCUAAUCCCAGUAUCGGGCAGAAUCGAGAGCAUGUACACAAGCCAAGUAGCUGUCAUAAAGCAAAGCGAUUGCAACUCUUCGUAUUUACUUUUCAGUCCCUCCGCGAGCGCCUCAAACACUAGUCCGAAUUCGUGGCUCACGAGAACAAACGCAACUUUUCUUUCCCACUCUUCGGCAUUUCUCUCGUCUUCCUAUACAUUACCACAAUUCAGACAAGAAUUUAAUUCUUUGCGAAAUUUAUUUCAAAAUUAUAAGAGCACAAAUAUAAGCUAAAUUAAUUACCAUGUUGUCUUGAGAUUCGAGGGAUAUGCUGCGUCGGCGUUGAUCUUUUCGCAUGAAGGCUUUGUAGUUUUUAUCGAGGCCCGCUCGUUUGAGAAGAAUGGCUCUCGAUAGAGAUUUGCCUGAAUACGAGAAUCUUCCCUGUAAGGACAAAAUAGUCUCUGCUGCAGUUAUUUGAGCAGAUGGCGAUUCAGUGUUUCUUAGACACGAGAUAAGUGUAUCGAUCGCCUCUUCUCUGUAUAUGCUCAUCUUUCUUGGCUCUUCCUGUAAAAUAUUGUUCAUGAGAGAGAGAGAUAUCAGAGAGAUCAGAGAGAGAGAGAUCACAGAGAGACCAAAGAGAGAGAUCAAAGAGAGAGAUCAGAGAGAGAGAUCCCAGAGAGAGAUCAAAGAGAGAUGUACAAGAAGAUCAAGUUGCAGAAGUAAACCAGAGAGAGAGAGAGAGAGAGAGAGAUGUACAAGAAGAUCAAGCUGCAGAAGUAGACCAGCGACAAUCGGAGACCGUUCGAAAACCGAGUUUUGUUGGUAAACCAAAAGAGUGUGCAUUGUACUAAAAGUGCCCUCAUCUCUCAACACAUGCAAGAUUUGAUCAUUCAAACUCCUCCUGCACAAUAAUUAUUCAUCCAAAUUAAUUACUUCCGAAAAUCGAAAAAAAUAAAUAAAAUAAAACACUAAUGCAAAAUAACCUGUUCAGUUUAACCAGUUCGAAAAGAAAACGAACAAUCUCAAACUUCUGCACAUCAUUCACUCCAACAAACAUCUCCAACAGAAACCCUAAUUCCGAUUUCUCAGCAAUUACAUUCCGACACUUCCCAUCCUCCAAAAUACACCUCAGCAACACGCCCACAGCCGCCACCCUUUCCGUCACGUCACCGCCUUUCAAACUCACCACAACUCCCUCAAUCGCCCCGCUCGAAACAACGCUCCUCACAAUCUCCGACACACGUGCUUCUUCGUCGCAGCCCCGGAGAAUAUUCCCCAACAGAACCAGAGAUGCCGUUUUCGGCCCCACGCACAUCUUCGCCACGCCAUUGUCCUCUGUUUUAGUAACCGUUGCCAAAAGAUAGUCAACCAACUCCAUUUCUAAGAGGAUCUUAGCUGAAGGCUUCAAUAGAUGAACCAACACCACGGCCUCCGUUAGACCUUUCUUGAAAAGCUCGACCACACAUUCGACAUCCGAGUCAACCCUAGUCAACGUCUGGACGACGCUGUCGUCCCUCGACGCCAGCUCGGUCAGGACGAGUACAGUUGCUCUCAGCACAAGCUUAUCCACGGAAUUGAACAACAUCUCGACAAAACCGUUAACCACGGGCGGCUUCGAAAGGAGGGCCUGCAUAAUUUCCGGGCCCACGUUCGAUUCUUUCCAUAGCCUCUCGAUUUUGAGAACGGCGAUCUCGGCCUCCUUCAAGAUUUCGGACGUGCAGAGAUCGGUUAUCGCCAGCUUGAGCUCGGUCACGGCUCCGUCAACCGCGGCUUGGCUUAUGACGCUAUUCGGCGAAACUGCACGCUUCGAUUGGCCGAUUGGAGUAGGCGGGGAGCAGCCUGGGUUCCUGUCGAGCCAGCUGGCGAUGAGGCGUUUGAGCACGUAAUUCGUUUUCGGUAGAUGGAUACUGUGAAGCUUCUGCCGUGUGAUCGGACACGUGGCGUUCCCUCUGUCGAGCCAUUCUUGAAUGGCUCUCCUCUCGUAGGUUUGCCCUGUUUCUAGGGUUACAGGGUCGUCGAAUAUGUGUGUGGUGAUCGGACAUACGAAGUCCUUCGGUGACGGGGUUUUUGCGGCGGCGGCGGCGGCGGCGCCGCCGGAGAUAUUAAUUUCAGGUUCCUCCAUGAAAGAACUGAUACAUCAAGAAAUGAAUUAGGAAUUUAGAACCCUUCAAUAAAUUAAAAAAAUAAAAAAUAAAACCAUUCUUUUUUUUUUUAAUUUUGAUUUACCGGAUCGAUUCUUGUGAGGGAAGAAGAGGUGGGUUUUGUUGUUGUUGUUGUCUGGAUUCGAACAAUGUGGGUUUCUUGAUUUUUUCCUAAAACACACACGUGUGGAAAAAUCUUUGUAAGUAUGUAUUGAUUUUUUUCAUUGUUGAUAUCGAUUUUUACCUUUUGUUUAUUAUCGGCUGAUUCGGAAUCUGAAGAAGAACAGUCUGUCGGAUUGUUUGAUGAUAGAGUAGUUUUCUUCGAUUGUUUUGAGGAUGUCUUUUUCAGUUCAAUUGAUGGUUUAUCUCCUUCUUCAGCCCAUAUUGGCUGCACAGAAGAUGAAUAGAAAAAUAUUAAAAAAAAAUUGGCAGUAAAUUAUUCAGAAUUUGCUGCUUCUAUUUUUCCAUGUUCUUGACAAAAACUGCGUCAUAGUUUUUUCAAAUAAUUGACAUUGUCAAAGCUGGAUUCUUUCAGCAGGAGGGAGAGUGUGACACAAAUGAUUUUUUAAAAAGCAAUAUUAAAAAAAAAUCAAAAAUAAAAAUAAUAAAAAUAAUAAAAAAGAAGAAGAAGAAGGAAGACUGCUGCCAUGGAGUAUGGCCAAAUGACACGUCAGCAAGGGAAAUAGAAUAUUGGGCAAAUUGCACUUCGCCCCCUCAAAAAAUGUUGGUUUUGCACUUUCCCCCCUCAAAAUAGAAAAAUGAGACUCUCCCCCUUAAAAAUAUAUAACUCGGUGCACUUUGCCCCAAAUGUGUAUUUUCGAGCUAUUUCUUGUCGGAUUUGAGUAAGUUGGAAGCGCAAUUUCAUCUUUUAAGGCUUUAAAUGUCAUUUAAUCUUUUUUCACCCUACAUUACAAUGAUUAAGAAGAACAAAGAACAAAUUUUGUUGAAUUUGGAAGAAAAUUUCGUCUAACUUGGAAGCGAAUAUCAUCAAUUUGGGAAGAUAAUUUUUUUAAUUUGGGAACCCUACUUAACUCUGAAAGGAGGAUUCUCAAGAGAAAGAUGUAAAAUGACAUAUAAACAAUUCAUUCGGUGAGAAAUAAACCGGGAAUACACAUUUGGGGCAAAGUGCACCAAGUUAUAUAUUUUUAAGGGGGAUAGUCUCAUUUUUCUAUUUUGAGGGGGGAAAGUGCAAAACUGGCAUUUUUUGAGGGGGCAAACUGCAAUUUGCCCUAGAAUAUUACACAAUUUAUAAAUGGGAAAAUACAAUUUUUGCCCCUCAAGUCUGCACCAAUUUCACAUUUGGUCCCUUAUAUUCAUAAAAAACAUAUUUGGUCCCUCAUGUUUCAAAAUUUCAACACUUUUAGUCAUUUUCGUCAAUUUUCCGUUAAAACUAACGGAAUCAAGAGUGUGCCCAUCACUGCCUUAAAUAACGAACUAACGGUAAAUCGACGAAAAUGACCAAAAGUAUUAAAUUAUUAAAAUAUGAGGGACCAAAUGUAUUUGUUUGAACAUGUAAGACCAAAUAUGAAAUUUAUGCAAACUUGAUGGGCGAAAGCUGUAAUUUCCCAAUUUAUAAAUUCUACCUAAUACUUUAAAUAAUUAAUUAAUACAAUAGUCAAAACAAGGUAAUUUCACAUACCUCCCCUAUACUAUAAAAUUCGUCACCUAUCCCCCUAGAUUACAUGUUAUACCAUUUCUACCACUUUUUUAAAGAAAAGUUUCCCUCUUUUAUUCUUUUACAAACUUAAAUAUUUUCAAUUUAAUAAUAAAAAAAUACUAUAGUAUUUAUAAUUUAUACUCGUUUUGGUUUAAGUUUUACUUGUAUUGACCUCUCUAACAAUAUUUUUCAUCUAAUUGAUAUUUAUUCUAAAAAUAAGUAAAAUAUAAAAUAUAAUAUCAUAAGAAUCAAAGUGAAAAUAUUUUUUAUUACUAUUGAAAAUAAAUAGGAAGAUAUUUAUCUUAAAAAAGGUAUAAUUGGUUCAACAUACAAUUCAGGGAGGUAAGUUAACAGAAGGUAUAAUAUACAUUUUCUGUUAACUCGAUCAACAGUUAGUUAAUUAGAUGGAGAUUUUUGUUAUUACAGAUAGGUGGUGUUUUUGUUGUCAUUUAGCUUAAGUUAAAGGGGUUUUUUCGUAAUUUACGGAGGUAAAAAAAAAAAGCAUAGAAUUUGAAGAAAAUCAAAUAUUACAUUAUACCGUCUGUUUGUGGAUCGAAAUUCAUGGCCGUUAAUCUUGAUCGCCACGUCAUCACUGUAAACAAGCUUAUUAUUAUCAUCACCGGCGCCGGCACGCAGUAUAAUUGUCGGCGGAGCAAUCAUUUGAUCGUCGUUGUUUCUGAGCAGAACAUCCUUAAAAUAGUCGACGAAUAUCCUGCAGUUCUCCUCCAUUAGAACCUCGUACUCCCUCUCCAAACCCUUGAGCGACGAGGCCUGAGCGCCGCUCAUUUUCGACAGCAGCGUCGUCGUCGACGGCGUUAUCGACUCGUCGUAGUCGUGGUCGCUGUCGUAGCCGGAGUUCGGUAUGGAGGAGGACGACAGGAUCUCGGAUCUCUGCUCGUUGUACCGUUCGGUGAUCGGAGAGAAAUGGACGAGGAAUAGUUCCUGGAAGAGAAACGGCGCGAUUUCUUGGCGGGAAAAUGAUGGGUCGGACCGGAAGAUGUCGAGGAGGCUGACGGCGGCGUCGACGGGGCGGCGGCGGAGGUGGUGGACGAGGGAUAGGAGGAACGAGGAGAAGGGGUUGCUGUCUGGGUUGUUAAUGUUAUCGGAGAGGAGGAUUUUUUCGGCGAGGCGGAGGGAGGAUGAUCGGACGGAGGGGCUGGUGGCGGCGGCGGCGGAGAUGGCGGUUUCUAGGGUUUGGGAGGCGAAGCUUAGGGGCUUGACGAGGUUUGUGGGGAGUCUUUGGAGGAAGGUGGUGGAGAGACGGCGGCGGAGGUCCGGCUGGGAUAGGAUUUCCGAUAGGAAGGCGGAGGUGUGGUGGAGGAUUUCGUCGGACGUCGUGGUGGUGCCGGCGGCGGCGGACAUGGCGUCCGCGGUGGCCGGUGGUGGUUCUUUUUGUCUUUUUUCUUUUUCUUUUUCUUUGUUGGUGGGAAUUGAGAUGCAAAUUAUUUCGUUCCUAUAUUCCCAUAUUAAUACAAUUGUUUAAUUUUUGAGUAUUUUAUUUAUAAUAUUAUAAUAUAUGUAUUAUAUAUAUAGUUUAUGUUGACACGUGGAUUCAAUAUUUGGGGCCGGACCUGGUUUAGAUAUUUACAAUACUGCCCUUGUUUGCCGCCCUCGCCGGCCGGCCUUCGCCCAAUUUACAGUACGUCCAAAAUUGUAGAACAACACUAUCCAAAAUUAUUAUGAUUAAAUGAUUAAUGAACAUCAUAAUUAUUAAUUAUUUACCACUUCCAAAAGUCUAAUGAACAUCAAUAUCUUUAAAACAAAUUUAGAGCUCAUCAAAUUAAUUAGGAACAAAUCGUUUGAAUCAGUGAUUUAAAAUCCGGACCGGCACAUCAAACUGAUUAAACCGCAAAUUGUUGUCUUGUCUAGUCUGGUUUUGGUGAUCGAACAGUAAAAUUGGAGUCCAGCUGAUAUUCAGAUUCUUUUGCUAAAAAUUGUGCCUUUUAUUAUUAAAAAAUAUUAUAAAAACAAAUAAAAUGGCUAAAACACACUUUUAUUUUUGCCUAGUUGAAAAAAAAAAAAAAAUCAACAAAAUUGAAAUUAGAAAUUUAAUUAUAGUUCAUGUAAUACUUGAAGUCAUUUUUUGUGAUAUGCGUGUCGAUAUGUUGUUUGUCUAAAACGAAUAUAGCCUUGACUUACAUUUCAAUUGGAGGAGAAUAAUGAAUUAUGAUGCGAAAUAAAUUAUGUUUUAUAAUAUAUAAAUUAAAUAUCAUGAUUAUGAAGAAAAAAAAAAUGAAAAACCCCGGGUCAACGUAACCUUGACCUAAUUGUAUGUCAGAGUCAAUAUCUGGUCCGGUUUUAAAACAUUGAUUUGAAUCAUUGAAUGUCAAUUGUGCCAAAACAAAAUUAUUAAAGAAUAAAAAAAUGACUAAAAAAAUUUAAAACAAAUGUCGAAACUGGAGAAAGUCCUCUGUUCUUUUUUUUUUUUUUUUUUUUCGUUUUUGUUUUUUUUAUUUAUUAUUAAAUAUUAAUUAGUUAUUAUUAUUAAUAAAAUCGUAAUAAUAAUAAUACUAAUUAGUUGUUAUUAUUAUUAUUAUUUAUUUUCUGUUUAAAAAGGUCCUACUGUUAAAUACUGGGGAUGUUUACAUAUUAGCAGAGGAGCUAACUACGAGAGAGAGAGAGGAGCCGGAGCGAUGGAUGCCGCCGCCGGAGUUUCUGCAGCUACGGUGAAGUCAAUAUUCGUCUAUCCAAUCAAAUCGUGCCGCGGAAUUUCUCUUCCUCAAGCCCCAAUUUCUUCCACCGGUACCGAUCAAUUUUUACCCUCUCUUAAUUUUUUCUUCUUCGGAACCUCUUCUUAAUCUUAAUACGGAUAUAUGUGAAGGAUUUCGCUAUGAUCGAGAAUGGCUAAUCGUGAAUUCGAAAGGCAGGGCAUAUACUCAGAGAGUCGAACCCAAGCUUGCUCUCGUUGCAGUUGAACUGCCAAUUGAAGCAUUUUCUCUCGAUUGGGAACCAAAUCAUCACUCCUAUUUAGGUUUACUUUAUCCCCAAUUUUUUUUUUAAUUUUGGUUUAAUUUGGUUAAUUAGUGCCUAAUUGGGGAAGCUAUAUUUUAUUGUUGAAAUUACAGGCUACCGACAUUUCUCUGUUUAUUGAUUAGGCAUUGUAGAAAUGAGAAUUUUAUCUCCACAUACUUUCUUGAGAUGAAUUUGCUUUACAUUAUCAUACACUGUUUACAGAUAAUUAUGUGCGUACAAAACGUUUAUUUCGUUUUUUAACGAAAUUGUAAGAAAGGAAUUACAAAAUGCAGUGAUGAUCGUUUCUAUAUUCUUGUAUGUAUGAUCACUAAAUAAACGCAAGUCUGAUAAUUUUUCGGUGUUCGUCUUUAGUGAUAACUGCUCCCGGUAUGGAUGCACUGAAGAUUCCAUUGGCAAAAUCAGUUGAAAUAGUGAACGGUGUCUCGGUAUGGGAAUGGACUGGAUCUGCAGUCGAUGAAGGAGAUCAUGCCGCACAGUGGUUCUCUAAUUAUCUGGGAAAGCCAAGUAGGCUUGUUCGAUUUCAUGAUGGUAUAGUUCGUAAUUAUUCUCUAGUUUUUUCGGGUUUUUUUAAUAAUUUAUAUUGGUGUUGAACGGUAUGUGAUUUUCAUUCGGUUAUUAUGCAGCAUCGGAGGUAAGGAUUGUGGACCCUGAAUACGUGCAUGGAUACAAAGUUAUGUUUUCCGAUGGGUACCCAUUCCUCUUGCUAUCUCAGGUCUCUGUUGAAAUUUUGACAAAUGAUUAGUAUUUGUUUUCGGUACUACCUUAGAUUAUCGAUAAAAAAUAGGGGUGGAAAUUGGAACGGAAUUUCCGAUUUCCGCUCAUUACAAUCCAUUUUUUUCUUAUUUUGGAACAUCCGAAAAUCUGAUUUCCGAUUUUUUCUGAUUUUUUUUGGAUCAGAAUUGGAAUAUAUAUAAGAUUCCAUAUUCCAAUCCGAUUUUAAUAUCUGAAAAUUCCGAUGUUUUUUUCCGAAAAGUAUACUUAUAAAUGUAUAAUAUCAAUAUUAUUAUGUAUUUUAUAUUUAGAGGUGACUAAAAAUUAGAAAAUUUUCAAAUUCCUCCAAUUCUUAUUCGAAUUUUUUUUAUUUUUGAUUUUCGAUCCAUCAAAAACAUAAAUUUCGCAGGGAUCAUUGGAUUCCUUAAACACACUUCUCAAGGAGCCUAUACCAGUCAACCGUUUCAGACCCAAGUUAUCGUCUAUUUCAUAUCUCAAUCUAUUUUUUUUUUGGAUCGAACAAAGUUAAGAAAAAAAAUCUGAUUUUAUCGAUCUAAUUUUACAGUAUCUUGGUCGAGGGAUGUGAACCAUUUAUCGAAGAUUUGUGGACAGAGAUCAAGAUAAGUCAAUCAACAUUCCAAGGUGUAAAAUUAUGCUCUCGUUGCAAGGUAAGCGUGCACUUAUUCAUUUUCCUUGGCACUUUUUUUUUCCCCCAGAAAAUCCCUGAUUGAAAAAUAGCCUCGUGAAAUUGUUAACUGAUCAUAAUUAAUACCAGGUGCCUACAAUUAAUCAAGAAACUACCGAAGCUGGUUCCGAGCCUACCGAUACACUGAUAACCUUCCGUUCGGACAAAGUCUUACGCCCUAACAAGAAACACCAGAAAGGGAAGGUAAUAACAAAAGAUCGUUCGUUCGUAUGUUAAUAUUUUUGUCUCCUUUUAGCAGAUGAUUAGUGAAGAUAUUAACGGUGUUUCGAUUUUCAGGUAUAUUUUGGACAGAACAUGGUGUGUUUGGACUCCAUUAAUGGCGAAGAAGGGAAAAGAAAGAGCAUCAAAUUGGGAGAUUCUGUUUUCGUCCUAAAAUCGGUGACCUCUGCAGCUGAUGCUGCCGUUUAAUAACUACUAUUUUACAACGGUUUCUGGUUUUGCUCUGUAAGUUGACAACACUUUGUAUAAUCAAUCUGUAUAAUUAUAUACUGUAAAAAUAUUUUAUAUUUAGAGACGUGCUAUUUCCACCCUCAAAAUAUCUUAUUUAACCACCAAAUUAAAUAUAUUUCCCAUUUUAUCCAUUUCUUCUUCUUGUACUUAUAUUUUGUACAAAUUUAUAAACCAUCUACCACUAAACUAAUUUUAAAAUAAAUAAAAAUACCGCCCCCCCCCCCCCCCCCACAAUAGAAUUCUCACCCCCUCAACCCGAAGUGAUUAAUACUUUCGUCAGAGAAAAACAUUUUUUGGAGAUCAAAAAGACUAGAAAUUCACGUUUAUUAAGAAAUAAAUUAGGAUUUGCUUGUAUGAAAGGUCCUGAACUUCCUCUAGAAUUGGCAAGUUUGGCUUAAUAUAAUUUCGUUUCCUAAAUGUUUUUACAUAAUUUGUAGUAUCUGAUAUGGAAAUUUACUCCCCCUUGUAAUGACUUGAAUUAAUAAAAAAAAUAUGGAAAUUUAUAUAUUUUGUAAUAAAUAUUUCAUUGCAAAAAAAUAAAAAUUAAAAUUAAAAAAAUUAAAAAAAUAAAAAAAUAAAAUAACAUAGAAAUAACCUAGAACACAUGAAUAUUAAGUGAAUAUAAUGAAGGGCGGUGAAUUAUAAAUGAAGGGGUAUUUAUGACAUUUUAUAAUCUUUGGUGGUAAAUUGAGAUACUUUGGAGGUGGAAAUAACACCACUCUAUAUUUAUGUACACCAAUAAAUAUAUAUGUUACAUAAAUAAGUAUAAUAAGUAAUUUAAUUUAGUGUACGAAAUUACUACGUGAAUAUUUAUAUUUAAUUUGUAAGAAAUAUUUUUUUGUUUUGUCUUAAUUAAUUAAUCUACACUCAAAGUGCAAAUAUUAACAAUAAUAACGAAAAUCAGCGCAAUAAUCCAAUUUCUUAAAACAAAAUAAACAUCAUUACAACUCACGAAUUCGAAUUAACGUGCGAAAUUGAUUCAACAACAUAUAAUAAUAAACCUGAUAAAAAUGCAUAGCAUCAGAAGCAGUCAGCCUUGGAAUUUUUUUAGCAGAUUGACUGCUCAUGAUAUUAUGUCAUCUUUUUUUUUUCAUCUGAAAAAUAAUUAGUCGUCCGCUAAUUUCAAUAUUUAAUUUUAAUUUUUAUCGGAAAUUUGCAGCACCGAAAGCUGAAGCCCAAUAAUCAGCUCCGUUAAUCUCGCUCCCGACGUCGAUCGUGCAAGAUAUCGGAACCAAGCACAGCCCCCUACUCUUCAAAUCUUGCUUCGGUUCUUCAUCGUUGCAUUCCUAAUUAUUAUUAAUAUAAUUAAAUAAAAAAAACAUAAAUAUUAUAACAAGAAACCCAAUGCAUGUAAUUUAAUACAAAUAUUUAAUUUUAUUAAUUACCAGAUCAGAUAUUUCUUUCCUCUUGAUGCAGUUUUCAUUCAGCAGCUACACAAACAAGAUUAUCAAAACAACAUUAAUUACAAUAAAAAUGUCUUACAUAGAUAUAAUGUUGUUUUUUUUCUUAAUUUAUUUAAUUUUAUUUUUAAUUUAAUAAAGAAGCAUAUAUAUAUAUAUAUAUACCUGGCCAGGGUCCUCUGGAAAUAAACAAUUUCUCUCUCCUUGAACAACCUGCAAUUCAGAAAAACAAGAUUUUAUUGCCAAUUAUUGAUAGUUAUAUGUUCACUUUGCACAUGUUUCAUUGUACUUUUUCCUCAGAUAUCCACAUGCAUAUAACACACACACACACACAUGUAUACACAUAUAGACACACAAAAAAAAGUGCUUUAUUCAGGUUUAAUUUUCUUACAGGGGGGUGUUGUUGGCUGACCAAGUUUCUUGAAGAACCACUGCCCAAGUAGGGUUGGCUUAGGGCCUGCAAAGUUCAAGGGGAUAUACAUACAUAUUAUAUACAUGUAUAUAUAUAUAUAUAUAUAUAUAUAUAUAUAUAUAUAUAUAAAUAUGAAGAAUGUAGUAGGGACAAGACUCAUCACUGAAAUAAUUGAAGGUGUUUAAUUUGAUGAUGCAUGCAUGCAUGCAUGCAAUAUAAUGCGUUCUCUCGAAGAAAGAAAAGUCACCUCAAUUUGGUUCUGUAGGAAUUUAAUGUAUCCAAUAGCUUCCAACAGUACAGAAGCUGUGUCAGUCUGCAAUUAAUUAAUUCAAGCAAAUAAAUAAAAAUAAAAAAAAUUAAAAUAAAACAUAUUUUAUUUAAACAAUAUCAAGAAUAUAUAAUUAAUACACAUCUUGCAGGUGUGUGCAUGUGUGUGUGUCAUGUACUUAUAUUCUUUUUUAUGUAACUAAACAAUACUCAAAAAGCAAACCCUAAAAGAUGAACUAAUUUUUUAUUUUUUAAAAAUAGAUCAAGAAUUUCCUUCAUAAUUAAUUAAUUAAUUAAAUGAAAUAAAUUACCUUGCCAAAUGGAGAAACUAGCUGGUGGAGGGCAGUAACUCUGUCACCAAGUUUUUCUUUCCUCACCUGUUUUAAUUAAUUUCUUAGUCCAACAUAUUAAAAUUAAAACUGAUUAAAGAAGAUAAAUUUUUAUUUACCCCAUUUAAUUAAAAAGGAAAAAAAAGAAAAAGAAAAACAAGCAGAUUCAGACAUAGUCAUCAAUCAUGGUUUCUCUUUCUAGUUUAUAGUGUGUGGACUAGAUAAGAGAUGGCCAAAAGAAUCAGCAUGUAAUAAUAUCACGACAAUCAAGAAAGACAAAAAAAGUUUUAAUUAAUUAAUUAUAUAUAUAUUUUUUCAUGAAUAUCAUUAUUCAGUACUCAUGAUGCAAUUGCCUAAUUUAAUUAAUUAAUUAAUUAAUUAAUUAUACCUUGAUGGUAGAGUGUGCUGAAGAAGCAGCUGGUUGAGUAAUUCUAGCUUUCUUGGCUGCUGCCCCACCUGUUGUUGCAGUGCUAUUGCACUAUUUAAAAAAAAAACAAAUUAAAUUAAAAUAAUUAAUAAACAUGAUUAAGGAAUUAUAUUCUUGGCUGUGGAAAUCAUCAAAAUUGAAAACCCUUUUCAGAUCUGUAAUUAUUACACUAAUAAGUAAUUAAUUUACAAUUACUAUAUUGUAUUUAUUUCUCAAAACCCUAGUUGUUAAAGAAAGAUAGAUACAAAGUGUGUGUAUAUAUAUAUAUAUAUGUACCUCAGAUGGAGGAGAGAAAUCCAGGAGAUUGUUGGCAGUGGUGAUACAUGACUUUGAAGAUGAAGCAGAAAUAUUCAUUUGUUGAUGAUGAAUAUGAGACCAGCUGCUGCAAUUAUUAUUGUUGUUUGACGGUUUUGCCCCUUGGAAUACUUCUAUGUUAUAAUUAGUGCCCAUUACAUUAAUAUUAUUUUCUUGCUUUAUAGCAUUAUUAUUUGGAAAUAUUCUGAUGAUUAUUAUUAUUAUUCAGAAAUUGUUGCUCCCAAUUCUCCAUCUUCUUCGCCUGAAUAUGUUCAUCUUCCCCGACCAAUCCUCCUCUGGAAAAAAUAUUUAAAAAAAAAAGAAAUUAAAUAUAUAUAUAUAGAUAUUGCAUGUGCUGUGUGCAUGCAUCAAGAACAAGAGAGAGAAAGUGUACAGGAGAAGUUGGCUCCACGAGUCAGCAUGGAGGCCGUAGUCGUCAUCAUCAUGAUUCCACGAUGAGGGCGGUGCGAACUGAUGAUGAUCAUGGUGGUGGUGGUGGUGCGGCGGCGGGGCGGCGGAGAAGGGGUGGUGGUGGAGAGGGGGUCUUAUGUUGUUGAUGCUCCACCAGGUGGGGCUGCCGGCGGCCACCAUCUGCUGCACCGGCGAGCUCUGCACGCCACCGUGAUUCAUUAUAUAUCUCUGUUGAAAUUAAUUAAAUAAAGGUCGAUAUAUAAUAAAUAUUAUUAUAUAUAUUCAAUAAUGUAUAUAGUCUUCUUCUUCUCUCUUUUUUACUUUGUGUGAUGAAUCUUUCACUUUCACUUUUCCUUUUUUUUUUUCUUUCUUUCAAGUGGUGUUUGUACAAACACUCUUUUUUUUUUCUAGGGUCUCUCUCUCUCUCUCUCUCUCUCUCUCUCUCUACACACUUGAUUAAGUAUCAGAAAAUGUAGAGAGAGAAAGUGUAUGUAUAUAUGAGAGAGGAGAGGAGGAGGACCUUUGUGUUUGUGUCGUCUCCUUCUUUAAUUCCUUUUCUUUAUUAGCUUUCCUUUUCCUUUCUUUCUUCCUUUUUAUGUUUUUCCUUUUCUUUGCUUUUGCUUUUAUCACCAUAUAUUAUUAUUAUUAUUAUAAAGUUGUGGAAAAAAAGGCGGUACCCUAUUUUAUUUUUAAUUUUUUUAUUUUGUAAAUUACGGUAGUUCUUGAGAUAAGGUCAAAUUACGAAAAAAAAACCCCUUAUAUUAGAGUAAUUACAACUUACAACACCCUUAAAAUAUGAAUCUUCUUACACGUCUACAUUUGCGGUGUCAAAUUUAGUAAAAUCUUCUCGAUUAUGUGGAGUACUCUCCAGUUUGUACCCGUUUUACCUCAUUCAAGCUCCACAUUUUGAAGCAAGAUCAUCAUAAGAUGAGUAGUCUCUUGGCUCGUAUAUAUCAGAUUAUGGUGCAUCAGAAACUGCAUUUUUGCGCAAAAUGAGUACAAACUAGUGAACAUCCCACCGAUCUAGAAGAUUCUGUUGAAUUUCGCAUCGUAAGAGAGGACGUGUAAGAAAAUUCAUAGUUAAAGGGUGUGAUUGUAAUUAUUCAAACAUUAGAGAUGUUUUCGUAAUUGGACUUAAAAAUUUAAUUAUAGAAGCUAAAUAGGAUACUUAAAAUGGGACGAGAUGGUAAAACGGGUAAAUAGUUUUUAAGUUUUUUUAACCAUGGUUAGCAUUAUUAACUGACCAACUUGAUUGAUUAUAUGGUCCCGGCCACCUAUUUAAAGAACCCUAUACUUUGAUGACGAAAUCAUGACGACCACAUGACGCAAUAUAUUGAAUCAAAGACCACAAACAAAUCUAACUAAAUCGAAUUAUCUUAAAUAAAUUAAAGACCACUUAAAUUAAUUGUUUUCACAAUUUCUCCAAUACAAUGUCGGAAACAGUUAUGUUCGAAAAAAAAUAUAUUUAGUUGAUUAGUUCCACGAAUAUUAUAUUUUGCUUUUUUAUAUCACUUAUAGUUAUAGGCUUAUAGCCACAUUUUUAAUGCGUAUUUAAUUUUGUUUAUUUAUUUAACUUCCGUGGCCAUCUAUGUAUAGACAUACUUUUGCUCUUGCAUUUGAUGAUUUAUUUAAUUCGAUACUCUUUUUAUUAUUUAUAAGGGUUUUAAGAUAAGCAAUUUUAUAGUUCAAAUUGGAAGUGUAUUGGCAAAUUGUGACAAAAACAUGGUCUUUAAUCUCUUUGUGCGCACACAAACAGUGUCUUAUCCUCACGCGCUGUUCAGCCAUAAAAAGUUAUAGGAAGAAAAAAAGAAUAUAUACCUAUUUGUUUUUUUUUUUACAUUGCUUAGUUGAUAUUUUUUUUAUAUUAUGUUCUAGUUAAACAAAAUUAAAUUUUAUUCUCCACGUAAAUAGAUAUAGCAAUAUAUAUAUAUAUAUAUAUAUAUAUAUAUAUAUAUAUAUAUAUAUAUAUAUAUAUAUAUAUAUAUAUAUAUAUAUAUAUAUAUAUAAAUUAAUUAGAACACCCCACUGUAAAACAGCAGCAGCCCCCUCCCCGUUGUAACUUGUAAUAAGCUUAUCCCCAAAAUUUAACAUUUUAUUUUGGGAUAAUUAGCAAUACCCCCCUCAUCUAGGUAAAUGAGUUAAGAAAAACCCCCCUCCCAAAAAUAAUUAGAGAAAACCCCCUUACCUAAUAUUCUACCCAAAUAUUAUUUAAUAAUUCCCAAACCACCCUUUCUCACUCUUAUCUUUCUCUCUCUCUCUCUCUCCCCUCUUUCUCUCGCACACAUAAAAACACACACACACACACACACACACAAAUUAGUGAGAAAUCUCAACAGGAGAAAGCUCAACAGGAGAGUAAGGAGGAUUCUGCCGCCGCCGCCGCCGCCGCCGCCGCCGCCGUCGUCUCCGCGCACGCGUCAGCUGGAGUGAGAUUUCGAGGACGUGGGAUCGGAGCGCGUUGGGGCUGUCGCGCGUGACGAUAAUUGGGGGCUUGGGCUUGUUCUUGGAUCCCGGAGGACGACCGCGCGGGCGGCGGUUGGCGGAGGGAGUACCCCCGGAGCUGGUGGUAGCGGCGGCGUCGUCGUCCUUGGAAUUAGCAGACGGCUCGUGAUGAAUUUCAAGACGAGAAGAAGGCAACGGCGGCGGCCUCUGCUGCAAGUGGAGGUCCGUCGGUGGUGUGAGAAGCUGAUGAACGUAGCGAGAAGAAUUACCACCGCCGCCGGAGCCUUGCUGAUGUUCGUAACCCGCCAUUUCUAUACAUCAAUCUCUCUCUCUCUCUCUCUCUCUAACUUUCUCUCUCUAGCAAAUAGAAAUGAAAACGAACACAGAAAAUUAAAGUAGUAAUAAAGAAUGAAUAUAAUCAGUUAUAUUCUCUAUUCUGGUGUUGCUUUUGGGAUUAAGUUAAUUUAGGAUUGGGAUUAAAUUAAAUUAAAUUAGUUUUCUUAAUUGGUGGAGCUGAACAUGCUCAAAAUAUGACGGGUUCGGCCAUGGCAGAAGCUCUGGGUGGUGUGGGGACGAUGUGGAGGCCGAUUUUGGGUUUAUUUGUGGCUGAAACCUUAAUCGACUAUGUACAUGUUCAUAGUCGAUUAAGCUAAUCGACUAUGUUCUGGUAUUCGAUUAAGGUUGAUCGACUCCAGUUUUUUUUAUUUUUUUUGGAUUUCUUGUCUAUUGUUUCAAUUGUAUAAAUCAUUUAUAACGUUUGUAUAUUUGUAAUACUUUCUAAAAUAUAGUUGAUUUUGCAUUUUUUCGCAGUUGUAAUAUGUUAUGUUAAGUAGCAGAUUCUUAAUCGACUAUGCUUCAUCAUAGUCGAUUAAUACACCUGAUAUAGACAAAAAAAAUUAAGAAAACAAAAAAAAAAUUAAAUAAUUAAAUAAUUUCCUUAAUCGACUAUGAAGCAUAGUCGAUUAAUGCUUAAUCGACUAUGCUUCAUAGUCGAUUAGCAAAAAGAACGGAAAAAAAAAAAAAAAAAAAAAAAUUUGCUGAGCGUGACCCAGUGAUGAUGUGGCGGUUGGGGACAAAGCUGGAAAGCAUAUUGGCUGAAAAUGGGUGUGGACCUUUUCUCACAUGGACUAAAAUAUUUUGGACCUCCCUCAAUUAAAAAAAAUAAUGAGGGGGUUUCUCAAAGAGCCCCUUUUAUGUUUGUCUUGAGCAAGAAAGUAUACUAGGAAACAAAUUCUACACAAAUUUUCAAGUGGUCAAUAUUUUGGGGCUUGUAAAUUCCAUUACCUUAUACAACAACUACUAAGGAAUUAUCACAAGUACCAAGGAUUUUUUUGUCAUUAUUUAUUUUCACUCAUAACUUAAAUAAUACUACUGCAUAUAAAUAAAUUUAUAGGUAAAUUACGACUAGCCCCUGAGGUAAUGUUAUAUUACGAAAAAACUCAUCUUGUUUGGGUAAUUGCAACCACCUCCCCUCAACUAUGAAUCUUCUUACACGUCCACCCUUAUGGUGUGAAAUCCAUGAAUGUUCUCUAGUUUGUACUCGUUUUGUGCAAAAAUACAGUAUAAGAUGCACCACAAUCUGAUAUUUACAAGCCAAGAGACACAUUUUAUGAUCAUCUUGUUUCUAAAUAUGGAGCCCAAAUGAGGUAAAACGGGUACAAACUGAAGAAUAUUUCACAUAAUUUAGAAAAAAUCACUAAAUUUGACACUAUAAUGAUCGAUAUGUAAGAAGAUUUAUAGUUAAAUGGGGUUGGUUGUAAUUACCCAAACAUAAGGAAUUUUUCGUAAUUUAACCUUAUCUUUUGCAGUUAUGAUUUACACUCAAAUUAUUUAAUCAAUUUAUCUCUUAUAACAUAUGAAUCAUAUCAACCUCCACAUAAUAAUGACAAGCAAAGGAGUUGGAUCUUCCAAAAAAUGUUACAUGCUAUAGAAUAUUACAAGAAGAAUGUUUCACAAUUAAUUUAUUAUUUCUUCCUACAAUUAUUUACUAAUUUAUAUAUUAAUUUUAUAAUUUUUCAAAAAUCUCCUUGAUAACUACAAUUUUAUGGGGCAGCAAACAGACAAAAAUGCCCUUGAAACUAGAGAAUAAUUAAUUUAAUUAUUUAUGUUUCUGGUCCGUACUGCUAAAAUCUUUGUCGGGGGGCUUCUUGUCUUUACUAAAUCAUAUUACUUUUUAUUCCCUUCUCAAUUUUAAUUUAAUUAUUUAAUUAAACUUUAUUGUCCUCAUUAGCAAAAAAAAUUAAACUUUUCUCCCUUGUCUUUUAGCACACCUCAUAUUCCCUAUACUUUUAUUCCAUUAUUAUUAUAUAAGCUUUCUUUGAUCAAGUUCAUGUGGUUAUUAUCAUUUUAUUUUAUUUUUAUUUUUUUUACUUUAUUUUUUGAGGACAAAGAUUGGGAAUUUUACUUUUCUAAGAAAAAAUAACUUUAUGAAAGUGACUUUAUUCAACAUUGGUCCCAUAAUUAAAUUUAAAGUUGUUAUAAUUUUUGGGAUUAAGAGAAAAUUACAAUUUUUUUUUAUCUAUAAUACGACCUCAUGCACUACCCGUUAUUCUAGAACUAAUUAGUGUCAGGAAAAGCAUAAACCCUAGUUUUAUAGCACAUUUAUUCAGUACGCACAAUCGCCCACGAUAUUCGAUAGUUGACCGUCCAUACCCGAAAUCUCUCCCACAUAAAUAAUUGCUGUCAGACUCAGACUGACCACCUUACAAUAAUAUAUAUAUAUAUAUAUAUAUAUAUAUAUAUAUAUAUAUAUAUAUAUAUAUAUAUAUAUAUAUAUAUAUAUAUAUAUAUAUAUAUGAUUCUUAUAUACAUAAUGAAAGCAUUGAAAAAUUUAAUUGCGUGACGAUUGAAAUGAAUCUAAUUUGUUUGAUAGUAUUCAUUCCCAUCAUGAACGUAUAGAACUUGUAAUAUAGAGAUGUGACAUGUAAACGUCCCAUUAUAUUAUUGUCGACCAAUUUUGGUCAUUAUUUCAUAAUCACACGACAGUUGCCACGUCAUCAAUUAUUGUGCCCAAUAUAAAAUAUUUUCCAACUAAAUUCUCAAUCAAUUGAUACUUUAUCUCGUAAAUUUAGAUUGCGUAUAUCAUUCAUUUCAUUUAUUUACCUAAGCUAUAUUGUCGAUUUAUAUCAAUAUGUGUAUUCAAAUACCAAAUUGAAUUAAUAAUAUUAUAGGAUUAGAUUUUGACUUGUUAUGCCUCGUUCGAAUUACACAUGAUCUUGUAGGAUUCACGUGAAAAAUCUACCAAGAUAAAUUCCCCCGUGAUCCAAUGACUGUUGUGCACGUGACUUAUUGGGAAUGUUUAUGAAUUCUUUAUUUUUAUUUAUUGGGCAAAUUGCAGAUAAACUAACCAACAUAUAAAUCCAUGUGGUAGUGGUAAUUAUAAAUACCCCGUAAAAAUAUCAACCCUAACGGAAUGAAGGAAUUGUCUAAAUUACUCUUUUAUUAAACAAACAAAAUUUGGAUAAAUUACGAGUAUCCCCUCAGGUAAGAUAAAAUAUUACAUUUAUAACCUGUGGGUGGGUGUAUUACAUUUAUCCUCAUGGGGGUAGAUCUGGAAAGUCAUAUCGAAUAUUUUAUGGAAUCUUUAAGAUUCUGUUACUCAUAGCUUUGUACGGGUGUAACUGUUAGACGAAGCAAUAUCUGAGGGGGUAUUUGUAAAUUACCGAUACCACAUGAGUGUGUAAGUUAUUUGGUCAUACCUCAGAGGUCCCCGUAAUUAUAUCUCUUUUUUUGUUUUAUUUCCAUAUUAAAGAAAGAAAGGUAAAAUGAACAAGAAAAAUGUGAAAAAAUCGACUGUUGAUUGUGGAUACUGAAAAGUUAGAUGUCGUUUUAAUUUAUUUUUCUUUUUCUCCUUUCUUUUAUUUAUUAUUAUUAUUAUUAUUGUUGUUGUUGUUGUUGUUGUUGUUGUUGUUGUUGUUGUUGUUGUUGUUGUUGUUGUUGUUGUUGUUGUUGUUGUUGUUGUGAUUUUGUGUGGUUAAAUAAUUUGGCAUGUGCCUAUGUGGUGUUAUAAGCUUGUAUGAGUUAUGACCAUACUUUGGGCCUGGGCCCACAACUUUGCCUCUGUAGUUUUGUAUGCUCGUAUGGGCCUAUAGUUUGGGCUUGGGCCAAGUUUUUUUUUUAAAUCGUUUCUUCGUUAAAAAUAAACUAUUGUUUCUAAAUGAUGCCACAUAAUCUAUAAGAGUGAACGUAUCGGAAGAUUCAUAAUCGAUGGAUAGUUGUAAUUACUCAAAGAGAAAAGGGUAUUUUCGUAACUUGACCUUAAUAAAGGGGUGACCGUAAUUUAUCCUAUAAUAAAUAUAUAUAAAAUUUGAAAAACUAAAUUUCAGUUCAUUUAUAAUUAUUUAUUAGAAUAUAAGUACUAUAAUAAUAAUAAUAAUAACAAUAAUAAUAAUAAUAAUAAAGAAAAAAACUAAAAAAUAUACUUUGAUGCUUGAGCAGCUUCCACUUGUAGUAAUUUUCCCUCUCCUUUUCUGCUGUAUAUUUCUGGGAAAUGGUGUGUGUAGGUUAGGGCUUUUGUAAUCCAGCAAGUGUGUUGCACGCGCCAGAGCUUCCCCCAAAUUGAAGAUGAAGCUGAAGCAGUUAGAGAGCCUUCUCGGCUCUCUUCAACAGUUCGAUAACCCCAAGGUCUUUCUCUCUCUCUCUAACCCUCAAUUCAAUAUUUUCUCCGAAGAAUAUUCGACGCCCAUUUGCGUCUGUUUAUUCGUUUGAUUUGUACAUAGAUUAUGCUGUCUGAUAAACCCUAAUAUGGCAAUCCUCUUAUGGCGAAACAGAUUGAAUUGGAACAAUAUCCAACCGGACCCCACAUCGCAUCUCGAUUGCUCUACACUGUAAUAAUUAUCCCAUUUUCAAAAUCUCUGAUUUUUCCCUAAUUUGAUAUUAAUGUACAGUACUUGUGUUGUAUGUGUGCACUUAAAGAAUCUAUCUUUAGCAUAAAUUCAGGCAGAGAAUUCAUUCGGGGAUGUGACGGAUAAAGUCGUGGCCGAUUUCGGUUGUGGCUGCGGUACACUGGGAUUGGCUGCUGCUCUUUUGGGUGCAGAGUUAGUAAAAUCGUCUUCUCUUUUAUUUUUAUUUAUUUUGCCCUUUUUUUUCCAAAUAUGCUGUAGGAUGAAUUUUUUAUUUUAAAAUAUGAUGUAAUUUGGUAGUGGUUGUUGAAGCUCAUGUUGUUAUUGACUCAGGCAUGUUAUUGGAUUUGAUAUCGACGCGGAAUCUAUCGAAAUUGCAUACUCUAAUGCAGAUGAACUAGAGGUACUUUUUGAUGUGUAUGUAUCCUGAUAGUUGUACAUGAUUAGUGGUUACGCUUUUCUGUUUAUUUUGCUUAUUCGGUGAAGAUGUGAGUUAUGGUAUAGUUGGAUUUCACCAAAGUUCUGGCUGUUUUCGUGUUUUUUUUUUUUUUUUUUUUUUUUUUUUUCAAUUUCAAGUGUGCCUUAACCUGUAGUCAACGUUUAUAUACCUUGAUGUACUUUUUUAUUGCAUAAUAAUUUGAUUUUUUUCGUUUUAACUUUUUUACCUUUCUUUAUGAAUUAAAAACUUGCAGUUAGACAUGGAUUUCGUUCAAUGUGAUAUCAGGAACUUAGGGCUGUCAGGUAGUUCUUCUGCACCGACACUCUCAAUUUAAAGCAUACAUUGAUUAAAUCUAUGAUGAAAUAUGACUGCUUUUGUCCUAUGCGUAGAUAGAAAUAUUGAUACCGUUGUAAUGAAUCCUCCAUUUGGAACGAGGAAGAAAGGAGCUGACAUGGAAUUUCUAUCCGUGGCUUUAAAGGUACAGACAGCCAUGAACUACAUUAUUUUUGUUCGUGCUGUUUUAUUGAACGUAAAAUAUGCAAUUCUGCUUCUUGCGUUUUUAUCUUAUUUGUCGGAAAAAUCGUAUGUCAGGUUGCUUCUCAGGCAGUUUAUUCUUUGCAUAAGACCACAACAAGAGAUGUAAGUGUUCUUAAUCUUGCUAAAUUAUUCUCGUUUUCUUGUUCAUAUUCGAUCUUGGAUAUUUCGGUCUGAAUUUUGUACUUAAAACAAGAUUAAAAUGAAAGUAAGUGCGAAUCUUGCUAAUAUAUUCACUAUUUCGUUGUUUCUUGAGUGCAGCACAUCAAAAGAACAGCUUUGAGAGACUAUAAUGCACGUAGUGCCGAAGUUGUAUGCGAGGUACAUAUUCUUGACCUAGUUUUUUCACUACACAAUAGUUUUAGCAUUAGUAGCAGAAAUGGCUCGAUACAAACUUACGAGUUUUUUUUUUACGAAAAAUUAAUUAUCGUUUCCUUUUUCUCUAGCUUCGGUUUGAUGUGCCCCAACUCUACAAAUUUCACAAGAAAAAGGAAGUUGACGUGGCUGUGGAUCUCUGGCGAUUCGUUCCGAAAACCGAUAGAUCAAAGGAUUCGUAGCUUUGUGUAUUUGAGCUUCUUUCACAACUUUGAAAAAAAAUUGCAAUGUGCACUUUUGUAUUGUAAGAGAAAAUUGAUUUUCUCACUACUCAUCCAGAUUAUAUUUAUGAUAUUUAGAAACAAAUGUGAGCAUAUAUAAUAUGUAUAAUUAUAUAUAUCCGAUUUAUACGACCAUAUGCAUCGGCUAAAUGUAAAAUUUCGAAACGAAUCUCUACAAAACUGUGAUCAAUAUUACACCAAAACAUAACCUUCCAAACAAAAAAAAAAAAAAAGAAAAACAGAUUGCCUUGUACAGAACAAAAAUUGUUUUGAUAUUUUUUUUUUUACCUCAACUGCAACUCAAGACUUCAAUUCCCGAUUUCUCACUCGCCGAGUGUGAACCGAACAAAUCGCCUAACCUUAAUAUUCUCACCGAGCGAAGCAACUGUCUGCUUAACCAAAUCCUUAACAGACAAACCAUCAUCCUUAAUAAAAGGCUGCUCUAACAGAGCAAUCUCUCCAAGCCUCUUCGCAAUCCUGCCUUCGACAAUCUUCUCUCGUAUAUUCUCCGGCUUCGACUGAAGAUCCUCUCUCUGCAUCUCCAACUGUUUCUCUCUCUCAAUGGAACUUUCCGGAAUGUCUUCAAUGGAAACGUACUGCACCUGUGGGCAUGCAGCCACUUGCAUGGCUAUGUCGUCCACUAGUUCUUUGAAGUUUUGACUUCUACCCACAAAGUCGGUCUCGCAGUUGACUUCGAUUAGGACCCCGAUUCGAGAGUCGUGUAUGUAUGUUCCGAUUCUGCCCUCGGCUGCUAAUCUGCUUGAUUUUUUGUCGGCGCUUGAGAGGCCCUUCUUUCGGAGGUACUCUUGUGCUUUUACUAUGUCGCCCCCUGUUUCGGAGAGGGCUUUCUUGCAGUCCAUCAUUCCUGCUCCGGUUUCUUCCCGCAGUUGUUUUACGAGUGCGGCGGAAACUGGUGCUUUUGUGGGCCUGUGUACAAUAUUCAGACAUUACAAAAAAUUGCAAAAAAAGAUCAAAUAAACAAGUUUUUGGGAAAAAAAAUGGAAUUUUUGAAAAAAAUUGGAAACUAAAAUGAGAUCGAAAAAAUCGGAUUUUCCGAUAAUAUUUGUAUACUUCCCAUUUUCCAGUCGAAAAACUUCCGAAAGAAUCAGAAACCGCCAAUAUCAGAAAUCAGAAUCAAAAAAUCGAUUGUUCAAAAAAAAUAUAUAUCGAAAUCAGAAACAGCAGAAUUUGAAAAUGCAGCUCCAAUUUCCACACACAGUCUUCGUCAAUAAAGAAUAAACUACUUACGUAAAUAUAUACGUAUAUGUAUAUAUAUAGUUCAGUCGGGCAUAUAUAUACUUACUUUUCGACAGCUUCCUCAGUUUCAGCAGCAACAGCCGCCUCUUGUUCCACAGGUGCAGCAGGAGGAGCCGCCGCCGCUCUAGCGGCAGUCUGAGCGGCAACCUCCGCCGCGAAAUCCGUACUCUUCUUCUCCAAACCCUCCCCCAAAUUAAACCUCACGAACCUCUUCACCUUAAUAUUCUCCCCGACAGUCGAAAUCGUCUGCUUCACCCAAUCCUUAACCGCCACCUUGUCGUCUCUAAUAAAAGGCUGCUCCAUCAAACAAACUUCCUCGACACUCUUCUUUAAUCUCCCUUCCACAAUCUUCUCCCUAAUUUGCUCGGGCUUCGACAAAAGAUCCUCCUUCUGCAUCUCGAUUUCUCUCUCCUUAUCCAUUAUCUCUUUCGGAAAAUCUUCUGUAUUGAGGUACUUCACCUGCGGGCAUGCGGCGACUUGCAUAGCUAAAUCUUGGACGAGUUCCUUGAAUAUGUCGCCUCGCGCGACGAAAUCCGUCUCGCAGUUGACCUCGAUCAGGACGCCGAUGCGGCUGUCGUGUAUGUAGGAACCGACUCUGCCUUCGGCUGUGGCUCUGCUCGAUUUCUUGUCUGCGCUCGCUAGGCCUUUCUUUCGGAGAUACUCCUGUGCUUUUACUAUGUCGCCCCCGGUUUCCGAUAGGGCUUUCUUGCAGUCCAUCAUUCCUGCCCCACUUUCUUCUCGCAACUGCUUUACGAGAGCUGGCGGUAUUGUGGCGGUAGCAGCUGCAAUAUUUAGGUCUAGGUGGAUCAGAAAUAACAGCCUUUCGUAUAUGUUCUUGUUUUCUGCUUUUUUUUUUUUUUGUUAUGAAAAUGAAGUGUUCACGAUUUUGCAAUCUAUUUUCAUUACUUUUAAAUCUUGAUUUUUCGGUUAUCGUGUAGAUAUUUUUCUUAUUUUUACGGCAUUUUGGUAAUUUAAGUGUUUUUUGCAGGUAAAUAAUGUAUGAAUGAAUGCUUAAAAAGUAGAUGACUCAGAAGCAAAGAUUAAUGAAAAGUUAUUCGAUUAAUCAACCUACGAAAGCAAUGAACUACCAAACUACAAAUCAACAAGAGAUAAACAACAAAGUUUUUUGGAGCCGCGUUUCGGAAAUGUUUCUCUAGCAAAAAAAAAAAGAUUAAUUUUUUUUUUCCCUACAAAUACAAAUCAUAUUGAAGAACCUGUGGUUGCGGUCUCGAUAACCGGCGAAUCAACUUCAGCACUCGAGCUUCCGUUGCUGCCACCAUCCUCAGAAAUAGUUGCAGAAGUUUCUUUUUCCUCACUCGAUUCUGUUACAUCAUCGGCUAUCUUUUCAACAACUUCUUCCACAGUUUCAGACAACACUGUCUCGUUCGUUAUUUCUUCAGACAACUCCGAUUCAGCCUCGUUUAGUAUUGCCACAUCAGCUUCCCCCUCGAUAGCUUCUUCACCACUCUCGGACAAAGAUACCUGAUUAGCUACUUCUUCAGACACCACAGAUUCACCCUCAUUUAGUAUCGCCACAUCAGCUUCCUUCUCGACAACUUCUUCACCGCUCUCAGCCAAUAUUGUCUGAUCAGCUACUUCUUCAGACAACUCAGGUUCACCCUCGUUUAUUAUUGCCACAUCAGCUUCCGCCUCGACAACUUCUUCACCGCUCUCAGACAAUACUGUCUGAUCAGCUACUUCUUCAGCCAACUCAGGUUCACCCUCGUUUAUUAUUGCCACAUCAGCUUCCUUCUCGAUGACAUCAUCACUCACCACUACAGAGGCUGCCGCCUCUAUUCCCUGUACCUCUUCUUUCUUGUCUUCAAUCGAUUCAUCAU
Molecule: long non-coding RNA, 42742 nt
Filed under: Erythranthe guttata (spotted monkey flower)
Lineage: Eukaryota; Viridiplantae; Streptophyta; Magnoliopsida; Lamiales; Phrymaceae
Description: long non-coding RNA (EGUT_LNC001719)
Source: RNAcentral